CUUAUUUCACACAUGUGUUAGGUGCUUAUUUCACACGUGUGUUAGGUGCUUAUUUCACACAUGUGUUAGGUGCUUAUUUCACACACAUGUGCUUGUUUGAAUUGGAAAUUUAUUUUUUCCUUUUCAUAUCCCAACUCCACCUGAGACACCCACGGAGAGGGUCAGCCAAUCUGGUCCCUUCAGCUCUGCUAAAACUGAAGCGGUAGCUAGACUCUCUACGAUACGUGUUGCUUUUGGAGUGACAUGUUGUGGUGCAACACUACCUGGUGAUGUUUUUAAUGGGGUAUCACAGGGUAAACUGUGCAACAUUACAUUGUGAUGUUUUUAAUGGGGUAUCACAGGGUAAACUGUGCAACACUACAUUGUCAUGUUUUUAAUGGGGUAUUACAAGGUAAACUGUGCAACACUACAUUGUCAUGUUUUUAAUGGGGUAUUACAAGGUAAACUGUGCAACACUACAUUGUCAUGUUUUUAAUGGGGUAUUACAAGGUAAACUGUGCAACAUUACAUUGUGAUGUUUUUAAUGGGGGAUCACAAGGUAAACUGUGCAACAUUACAUUGUGAUGUUUUUAAUGGGGCAUCACAGGGUAAACUGUGCAACAUUACAUUGUGAUGUUUUUAAUGGGGCAUCACAAGGUAAACUGUGCAACAUUACAUUGUGAUGUUUUUAAUGGGGCAUCACAGGGUAAACUGUGCAACACUACAUUGUGAUGUUUUUAAUGGGGCAUUACAAGGUAAACUGUGCAACACUACAUUGUCAUGUUUUUAAUGGGGCAUCACAAGGUAAACUGUGCAACACUACAUUGUGAUGUUUUUAAUGGGGCAUUACAAGGUAAACUGUGCAACACUACAUUGUGAUGUUUUUAAUGGGGGAUCACAAGGUAAACUGUGCAACACUACAUUGUGAUGUUUUUAAUGGGGCAUCACAAGGUAAACUGUGCAACACUACAUUGUCAUGUUUUUAAUGGGGGAUCACAAGGUAAACUGUGCAACAUUACAUUGUGAUGUUUUUAAUGGGGGAUCACAAGGUAAACUGUGCAACACUACAUUGUGAUGUUUUUAAUGGGGCAUCACAAGGUAAACUGUGCAACACUACAUUGUCAUGUUUUUAAUGGGGCAUCACAAGGUAAACUGUGCAACAUUACAUUGUCAUGUUUUUAAUGGGGGAUCACAAGGUAAACUGUUCAGCACAAUAGUAUUAUCUCUGCAUCAUUUCUGGGUGUCUACCCUAGCUUGUCACCGGUAUUGGAAAAACUGUGUGUAAAGUGAACACUUGUUUCUCUGUGAGAGAGGUUCUCUAUGUACAGUAUGUAUGCAUCCUUCAUCUCUUCCUUGAAGUAACCACAUAUCAGAGAUAGGUGCAUAGGUGAACACAGUAGGAUAGAGGUUAAAGCAGUAGAAUAGGUGAACACGGUAGGGUAGAGGAUAGGUGAACACGGUAGUAUAGAGGUUAAAGCAGUAGGAUAGGUGAACACAGUAGGAUAGAGGAUAGGUGAACACAGUAGCAUAGAGGAUAAGUGAACACAGUAGGAUAGAGGAUAGGUGAACACAGUAGGAGAGAGGAUAGGUGAACACAGUAGGAUAGAGGAUAGGUGAACACAGUAGGAGAGAGGAUAGGUGAACACAGUAGGAGAGAGGAUAGGUGAACACAGUAGGAGAGAGGAUAGGUGAACACAGUAGGAGAGAGGAUAGGUGAACACAGUAGGAGAGAGGAUAGGUGAACGUAGUAGGAGAGAGGAUAGGUGAACACAGUAGGAGAGAGGAUAAGUGAACACAGUAGGAGAGAGGAUAGGUGAACGUAGUAGGAGAGAGGAUAGGUGAACACAGUAGGAGAGAGGAUAGGUGAACACAGUAGGAGAGAGGAUAGGUGAACACAGUAGGAGAGAGGAUAGGUGAACACAGUAGGAGAGAGGAUAGGUGAACACAGUAGGAGAGAGGAUAGGUGAACGUAGUAGGAGAGAGGAUAGGUGAACACAGUAGGAGAGAGGAUAGGUGAACACAGUAGGAGAGAGGAUAGGUGAACACAGUAGGAGAGAGGAUAGGUGAACACAGUAGGAGAGAGGAUAGCUGAACACAGUAGGAGAGAGGAUAGGUGAACACAGUAGGAGAGAGGCUUUGCCACCUUGCUCUCACUUAUACAAUCAUCAUACAGAUCAGUGGUUUCCUCAAGGAAGGGAAAAAGAAAUACAAUUGAUGUGAAGGAUAGAAUUGAAUCACUCAAACAGGGAGUGGAUGACUAAGACCAACACUCUGCACAUUAAUUGAAGAAUA
Long non-coding RNA from Oncorhynchus keta (chum salmon), 2271 nucleotides. RefSeq lists it as uncharacterized. Lineage: Eukaryota; Metazoa; Chordata; Actinopteri; Salmoniformes; Salmonidae. The transcript is spliced from 13 exons. The record is from RefSeq and is a predicted model, not a curated record.